This 3173-nucleotide long non-coding RNA is filed under the name Pan troglodytes (chimpanzee). RNAcentral's name for it is "long non-coding RNA NONPTRT006444". The record is from RNAcentral. Lineage: Eukaryota; Metazoa; Chordata; Mammalia; Primates; Hominidae.
CUGUGCCACACCCGUGUCACAUGGCCAGAACCUAACGCCUUGGUCUGGCCAGCCCUGAGCCUCUGAUCUGGCCAGGAGACCCAGGGCUUGCUGCCUUGGAGGCUUUAGGCAAAUUCUUUUGGCUUCUGUGGCCACCCCUCUCUCCUGGGCUGGGAGGAAGAGCCCCUGUGGGAAGAUCCACCAGGGCCUGGGAAGAACCCUGCUGUAUCUCUCUUCCUUGCUGAAGGAGGCGGCCAGGUGCCCCCACCAUGUCCCAUGGCCCCACGGGCCCCUGAACACCCAAGGAGGCCAUGGGGCAGGGCCUGGCGUCAGGAGCCAGCCAGACGCCAGCUCUGAUUCUCGAAAUUUCUCCAUGACUUUGUCCAGCCACUUACCCCUCUGAACCUCCGAGGAGACACCUGUCCAUGGUAGUACGUGGGUGGCAGGUGACAGCACAGGGAGGGCACAGGAUGCUGGCCUCAUGGAGGGGCCUGGCCUGCAGGAGACACUGUCACCCUGGGGCUCUGCCCUCACUGCAGAAGCAGGCCCUUGAGCUGCAGUGAAGUGCCGCUCUCAGGGAGGGGCGGGUGCCACCAUCUCAUCCUGCAGCAGGUGGUCACUGUACAUGAGCCACAGCAUAUGUGGAUGGCAGCCCCAGACACAGACCUGCGCCCUGCAGACCUCCACCUUGGGAAGCAGGCAGGGCGAGCACCACCCUUCCCGGGAAGGAGUGUUGAUGUGGCCGGCGCAGCGGGGGCAGGAUUGACCGCAAGGGGUUCGUCCUCACCACCCACCACCUCGAAGCCUCCCUCUGUGGUGAGCACGGCCUGUUAGGCCUUGGGGAUUCUCUGCUGUGGCCUCAGGCCAGUUGGGAGUCUUGAGGAGGCUGCCCCAUAGAGAGCCCAGGGCUUGGCCAAAGCGUCACCACCCAUGGCCUCGGACUGGAGCUGAGAGGGUUUCAGACCCUGUGCCUCUCCCCAGGGUGCCGUGCACGUGCCGGAUGGGCAUCUGCAGAGAGCUCAGAGAGGGCUCCAGGCAUAGCUCGUCCCCUCCGCCUGAGAACAGGGAGGCCUCUCCAAGGCCUGGACCCUGGGCAGAAGGGGAGCCGGCGUGCAGAGGGUUAAGUGCUGACGAGAGGCAGGCGUGCAGAGGGUUAAGUGCUGAUGAGGGCUCCGUCUCUGCAUCAGUGAGCUUAAUACGCUCCUCAUUUGCAUACUGCAGUGUGCGCGAUUAACAUGAACUUUUAAUUUCUUCUAAGUAAAUUACUUCUUGCCGGUACGUGAGGCGCACAAAUGUCAGAAAAAUGGGAGCGCCUUACUGAGUCGGGGAGGGGAUGGGGGCUGUUGGGAGUCACCCCAGGAACAUGCACGUGCACGCACACACACACACACACACGCACACACGCAUGGAUUCAUGUGGGCCAGCAGCGCACACACUGGCCGCCUCUGGCCAUCCGUGCACAGACCCAGCACUGGCCGGCUGCCUCCACCUGGCAAACUCGCCCUGCACACCCAGGCUGGCUGCGAGCUGCCCAUUCCCGUGCCCAGCCUCACCCCCUGCAUGCCUGACACUGGCACACACACACGUAUGGGAUCCCACCCCAGAGAGCCGACAGACUCACCCAGCCUCAACUUCCCUUUCUGCUUCUACUUUUUAGGGUUAAAUAAGGAUGUAAAUUUACAGGGAUUAAAACAAAGAAUCCAGAGCAAGGAAGUCACAGAGGCUGUUCCCCUGCCCCUGCCCCCAGGACUGGAGGGAAGCCCGGUGGGGCUGCUUUGGGGAAAGCCAGGUGGAAGAGCCCCUUCCUGGAAAUUCCCCAGCUGCGAGCCCAAGUGAGACACUGACCCUCCACCCAGGCCCCACCAGGAGCCUGGCCUCUGCCAUUUCUCCUUCUCACGGUGCCUAGGUGCUCGCUCCUCCCCGCACGCUCCACCAGGAGCCUGGCCUCUGCCAUUUCUCCUUCUCACGGUGCCUAGGUGCUCGCUCCUCCCCGCACGCUCCUCUCCUCACCCUUUAGAAAGCAAACAUCGGAAAAUGUGGAGGCUCCCAGACCUCAGCGGCCUCCACUGCAUCUGAGGCAGACGCCGGACGCCAUUUCAGCACCUCGGAGAGGGCCAGCAGCCAGCACUGUGGGAUCCAGGGCAGAGCUUAGGGGGUGGUGGCCACCUGAGCCCGGAUAUCAUGGGCACAAGGGACCAGGAGCGUCUCAGGAGGGGUGUGGUCAAGGAACCUCCAGCUGGACCCCCUCACAAAGGCCUGUGCCCGUCCACAGUAGGCAGCACAGACGCUGUGUCCACACAGACCUGGUGUCCAGCCUCGGCGCCACAGCCCACGGGCCCAGGUCCUGGACAGAUCACUGAGACCCUCUGGGGCCCUGUCUUCUCUGUGCACCUGUGUCCACCUAGGGCCGGGGCCCUCCUUAAAGCACAUUCACCCCCCUGCCCUGUGUCAUAUCGAAGCCACAGCUGGGUGACUAGGACCAUGGGGCACCAUCCAAAACACAAAACUGACCCGACCAGGACUGGAGCCGCUGUCCAGCACCCUGCAGAAGGGCUCCUCAGCCACCCCAGGACAGUGGAGAUCAGGCUCAGGACACUACAGGGGCCAGGCAGGACCCCUCCCUGACCAGCACUCACUGCAGGGCUGUGGUUUCUCAGCGCCUGUCUCCUGGGGUGUCUCGACCUCUAACACUUGGUUCUUGGGGGGUCCAUCUCCUAGCCUCCCUGGGUCCAGAAGGGUCAGCAGAGAACCUGCCAUGUUGAUGACUUUCAGGUGGCCAAGAGAAUGGAGCAAACCCCUAGCCUGCCCGCACCUCUCCGCCUGCGCCUCACACCCCGGUGCACCUUGCUAGAGGCCGGCAGCCCCAUGCAGACGAGCUCAGGACUGUGCAGGGCACAGGCCCCAUUGAUAAUGCAGCCGGCCGUGACUGAUCCAGACUGUGAGCACCCUGCCCUCAGAGGGUGGUCAGGGAAGGCUUCCUGGAGGAGAAGGCCUAGCAUCGCACUAUGAAUGCAUCAGGAUGAGGAAGGAAGAGACCUGGCAGGUGGGGAUGGAGUCUACGGAGUCUGAGGCUCUGGCUGGGGACACCGAAGGGGACAGUGGGGUGAUUCCUCAGCCGGGGUGGCUGUCCUGAGGCCGGCAGGGGGACAGUGGGGUGAUUCCUCAGCCGGGGUGGCUGUCCUGAGGCCGGCAGG